RNAcentral lists this ribosomal RNA (496 nucleotides) under uncultured bacterium. RNAcentral's name for it is "partial 16S ribosomal RNA". It matches the Rfam family "Bacterial small subunit ribosomal RNA", at positions 28 to 506 of the family's 1533-position model. The record is from RNAcentral.
GAUGAACGCUGGCGGUGUGCCUAAUACAUGCAAGUCGAGCGAACAGACGAGGAGCUUACUCCUCUGACGUUAGCGGCGGACGGGUGAGUAACACGUGGAUAACCUACCUAUAAGACUGGGAUAACUUCGGGAAACCGGAGCUAAUACCGGAUAACAUGUUGAACCGCAUGGUUCAACAGUGAAAGACGGUCUUGCUGUCACUUAUAGAUGGAUCCGCGUCGCAUUAGCUAGUUGGUAAGGUAACGGCUUACCAGGGCAACGAUGCGUAGCCGACCUGAGAGGGUGAUCGGCCACACUGGAACUGAGACACGGUCCAGACUCCUACGGGAGGCAGCAGUAGGGAAUCUUCCGCAAUGGGCGAAAGCCUGACGGAGCAACGCCGCGUGAGUGAAGAAGGUCUUCGGAUCGUAAAACUCUGUUAUUAGGGAAGAACAAAUGUGUAAGUAACUAUGCACGUCUUGACGGUACCUAAUCAGAAAGCCACGGCUAACUACGU